Triticum aestivum (bread wheat) is the source of this 3056-nucleotide long non-coding RNA. RefSeq lists it as uncharacterized. The record is from RefSeq and is a predicted model, not a curated record. The transcript has 7 exons. NCBI's taxonomy places the organism in Eukaryota, Viridiplantae, Streptophyta, Magnoliopsida, Poales, Poaceae.
CGGUCGCGCUACUGCGCUAGGGCCACAGCAAUCGAGCAAGAGGAAAAACAGCCCCGCGCCCCUCACUCCUCCCUCCCUCGUCCGCCGCCACUCCCUCCCACCUCCUCCUCCUCCUCCUCCUACGCUCUAGGAGCCCCGCCGCCGACUGCUACUCCUCCACCGCCUCGCCUCUUCCCCCUCCUUGCCUUCCCAUCGCUCGUCUUCAGGCUGCAGCGGUGAUUCCCGAUCUGAGCCGUCUUUUCUUUUCCCGUCCGUCUCUCUCUCUCCCCCGCGGCUAGGAUUCGGGCUAGGGUUCGGGCGCCUUCCCUUCUCUCCUCUACCCAACGCCGCCUCCCCUCCUUUCUCUCCUUCUCCACUAACGAGGCCGGGCCAGGAGCAGCGAGGCCGGGGCGGCGGCGCGGACAAGAAACUGUGGGCUCUCCUCCGCAAAUCUCUACCGGGACGACUGUAGCCGGAGGAGGAUCCCCGGUCAACGGCGCCCCGGGCGCUCACUGCCAAGAAGCCGCCGGAGGAGGAACUCGACCUGGACGACCGCCGCUGGACGAAGAGCCCCGAAAAAAAUCCCCCAACCACCCCUGCGCCACCGCCUCUUCACCUUCGACCACGGGUUGCAACGGUCAGAGGACCAAGUUGGAGCAUACUAGGCAAAUGGGCCUUGCCGUGAGUCGUGGUGCAACAGUGACCUCGAUGGCAGGGCAAUGGUCAGAUACGAGUCAGCACCAAAGAUGACUGUAAGCACUCAAAAAAGUUUACCACGCUAGAGCUAUGUCAGGUUGUACGGGGGCAGUUAAUGAAUAUACUUGUGACACUUAUACUCAGCAAUGCCGACAAACAUGGUUUAUGAUGAUAUUGGUGGUCUGAAGCUUUAGAUCGUCGGGGCUGCUCUCAUUCGUUCAAUUUGCCAGUGAUCCUUCCAUUCUACUGCUGCUCAUUAUUAUCAUAUGAAGGAGGUGUUCUUCCGUUACAAUACUCCUGACGUGUUUCAUGAAAUGUCUAUGAGCUGAAAUUUACGGUCGCGGUCGAGAGCAACGGCGAGUGUAGAGCAAGCCUGUGGGAGAGUUUUUCUGAAAGCAAGCCCUCAGCACGCCCCGACAACCUUUCCCUGUCAGCUUCGCUCCCCUCUUCCUCCUCUUUGCUUAGAAUUGUUUUAUUGUCAUUCAUAUUCUGUAUUAAAUUCUGAUGAGGUUUCUGCUUGUUAGAUUAAAUUCUAGCCAAGACUAAACUGUAGCCACAAGAAGGCAGGAUUCUACUUGUUUAGUCUAAAAAAGAGUUUUUGACUUAUUUGAUUAGAUUCUAAGUCAGCUUUUGGGGGGACUUUAGAUACAAUUUGUUAGUUGGAAAAUAUAUGUGUUCUUGCGCUUGAGAAAUUGCUGCCAGUGUUACUGUAUCAUAUAUGAAUAUGUACAAGGCAUCAGAAAGCACAAGUAGCAGGAACAAUUAGUUCAGUUUUAAUAUUAUAGUGCUACUCAUCCUAAAUUGUGUUAAUUAAUCUGCUAGACUAUGGUGAUGACAGAGGGGUACUGUUUUUUAAAAUUAUUUCUUUGUUCCAAUUAUAAAGGGCCCUCUGCAAGGAUAUUUAUUUCAUCAUGUGUAGAAGUUUAGUUGGACAGAUAUUGUUCGUCAGUUUCUUAGUGCGUGCCUAGCUGUUUCCCCUUUUUACAUUGCUUAUUUUCUAUAGGAUUUCUUGAAAGAUAAUAGCUUGCUUCAACAAUUGUAGAACGAUCAUGGUUUCUUUGCAUUCCUGUACUUUUAUACGAUUAACAAUUUCAUGGCUAUCCUGUGUAAGAAACAGACAUCAUUGGCAUUGGCCAAUGCAUUUGCGUUAAAUGCCCUGUUGGCCGAGUGAUGUAGUCCUAUUGUGAAGAUGCUUAUUGUUUCAUUUCUGUAAUGUAGGAACAUGUAUAUCCUUUCAAGUUCACUGAUGUGGUUACCACUACAACACACGUCCCUCCAAGGACCAAGGGUGGGCAUGAUCUUCUACAAGGUUGUUGUCUGUGACUAUUAGUACGGGAUCAACUUUGCGGUGUCCCCAUCGCUUCAAGUCAAGCUAAUAGAGCUAAAUGGGUAUCCAAUUUUAGAAAGCACACUUAAGAAACAUGAACACGUGUCUUUAGAUCCUAUGGAGCAUUCCUAAUAAUGACCAUCUAUUUAACUAUCUUGGAUCAUUACCAUUACAAAAUGCAGCAUGGCAUUCAUAAUGUUCAGUUAUUCAUAAAUGUGGCAUUUAAUUAUUCUCCUGGCAUGAUAUUUAAGCAUGUUGCAUAUACCAAUCUGUUGAUAAUUCAAUUAUUGAUUCUGAUGUACAAACAUGCAAAACCAUUGCCUGUUUGGAUGAUGCACAUGAGUAUGUUUUUGUUAGUUUUCGGUGAUGUACGUCGUGAAGCGGGACGGGCGGACGGAGACGGUGCACUUCGACAAGAUCACGGUGUGGUUCAAGAAGCUCAGCUAUGGGCUCAGCCAGGAGCACCGCGACCCCGUGCUCGGUCUGCGUCAGGGUAUACAUGGGCGUCACCACCAGCCAGCUCGACGAGCUCGCCGCCGAGACCGCCGCCGCGCUCACGGCCUCCCAGCCUGACUAUGCCUCCCUCGCGGCAAGGAUUGUUGUGCCCAACCUGCCGCCAAGUGGAAAUAGUCUGUGUGGCGCUUGUAAAUAGAGAGCAUUCUGGUAGAAAGCUGAAAGAUUAGCAAGACUGGCUAAAUUCUGAACAUGUUCCAUGUGAGAGAAAUAGCAUGUUGAUUUCAUCUUGAAAUAAUCAUAGCUGAGGGACGAGCUUCGUAACUAAGGGUCAUGUGUAGAGCUGAAGGAAGAAGUUGCGAGGCUUGGAACUCUCCUUGUAAAGGGCUCAGGACAGCAGUGAGGACAAUGCCUCUUUAGUUGUAAUUGUGAUACUCCUGAUCUGCAAGUAAACACUCCUGUGAUACUAAAUGUUGGUUGUUAGUACAGAGGUGGUGACAUUAGUUGGUUCUCUGGUAUUGAUUUCAUGAUUUGUGGUUAAUACAUGAUGUAAUACAAUCCACACUGCAUUAUAUUUCCAGUUACAUCUUUUACUUACUCA